Long non-coding RNA from Neofelis nebulosa (Clouded leopard), 1289 nucleotides. RefSeq lists it as uncharacterized. NCBI's taxonomy places the organism in Eukaryota, Metazoa, Chordata, Mammalia, Carnivora, Felidae. The record is from RefSeq and is a predicted model, not a curated record. The transcript is spliced from 2 exons.
AUGAUUAUUGUUUUCCUCUGGAUGCUUUUGUAAAUAUAUUUCAUCUUCAGAUAAAUUUAUGGAAAAGACCCUUCUACUCACAUGCAAAUCGUAUCCAUCAGGAUCAGACAACUAGAUGAAACCAACAAUAACCACAUGAAUGAUGAAGAUGGUGACUGCAUGGCCCUCCAGCCUGAUGAUUCAACUAAUAGAAACAGCAAAUACAUGAAUCUUCAGCCUGAUGUCAUCAACAGUGGUAACAGAAAAACACUGUGAUAGUUGGUCAUGCUCUCAGCCUGCUAAUAGAAUGACUGAAAGGGGGGGAAUUGUUACAAUCAAGGACAGAUGGAGACCAGCCUUGAAGUUUCACUCAACAGACAGAACCGGUGUAGUCAUGCAGCAAAAGCUUAACUGAGAUUAUUUUGCAAAACUAACUUGACCUGGAUCAUUUCUUGCUUGUACAUCUGGAAAAGAUGAGUAAAACUUGAACUGUUUCCCAAGGUUGUUAUGAGGGAGCCACUCAUAACUGGCUCAAAACUGUAAUAUUGUAAUCAAUCAUUAUGAAGAAUAAACAGCCAUUGCUUUCUCACUAUUUAAGCUGUUUUAAAACAGUAUACCCCUAAGCCUCAUUCUAUGUUCUUGCUUGAGUACUCCCAGUUUGCAAACUGUCUUCUUGGUGUGUGUGCAAUACAUUUUACUAAGUACACUUUCGUGAUUCAUUGGUUAUACUUUAGUUAUUGUGAAUCUUUGACAGUGCUGUGAACACUAAGCUCAAGCUAUACAGUUGUGUGGACUCCAAGUGAUGCCUGCUCCUGACAUGGGGCUCAUAAGCUGCAGAGAGAACUCCUUGUCCAGGUUUAGAAAAUUCCAACAGUCAGAGCUCCAUUUGUAUGGAGCGAAAUAUUUCCUCCGUGUUAUUUUGACCUUUGGGUCCUAGCCCCAGGCUCUGGAAAUGCUACAACAAAUGGAAUUAUCUUUUCUAUGACAGCCCUUCCAACCUUCUCACACAGUGUCCUGGGAGAAGUGGCUGGUGCUGCAAAGGCAGCUGUGAGCUGGAAUGACUCUUGGGGUCAUUCAUCUUGGUGCACUGGGACCCAGAGGUGACAGCCUGAAGGUGCCUGGACUCUGCUAGCAACUGUCAUAUGAAGAUAUUCAACUUGACAAGGAGGAAACAGUCAUGUUUGGGGAAGGGUGGUAGAAUUGCAAAAAAAAAAAAAAUCAAGGAAUACAGUUUCUUUAUAUUUGGAAAAAUUACUUACAUGUGUAAAGUAUCUACUUUGAAAAUAUUACAAACUUAUAUUGAUAAAGUA